AGUAGGGAAUUGUUCGCAAUGGGCGCAAGCCUGACGACGCAACGCCGCGUGGAGGAUGAAGGGCUUCGGCUCGUAAACUCCUUUCGACCGAGAUGAAUACCCGCAGGCCUAAUACGCUUGCGGACUGACAGUAUCGAGGGAAGAAGCCCCGGCUAACUCCGUGCCAGCAGCCGCGGUAAUACGGGGGGGGCAAGCGUUGUUCGGAAUUACUGGGCGUAAAGGGUUCGUAGGUGGCCAACUAAGUCAUACGUGAAAUCCCUCAGCUUAACUGGGGAACUGCGUCUGAUACUGGUUGGCUUGAGUGCAGGAGAGGAACGCGGAAUUCCAGGUGUAGCGGUGAAAUGCGUAGAUAUCUGGAGGAACACCGGUGGCGAAGGCGGCGUUCUGGACUGUAACUGACACUGAGGAACGAAAGCCAGGGGAGCAAA
RNAcentral lists this ribosomal RNA (428 nucleotides) under uncultured Acidobacteriota bacterium. RNAcentral describes it as "bacterial SSU rRNA". It matches the Rfam family "Bacterial small subunit ribosomal RNA", at positions 353 to 772 of the family's 1533-position model. The record is from RNAcentral. Lineage: Bacteria; Pseudomonadati; Acidobacteriota.